Molecule: unclassified non-coding RNA, 198 nt
Filed under: uncultured fungus
Lineage: Eukaryota; Fungi
Description: sequence contains ITS1
Source: RNAcentral
GUAAUUAUUAAUUUUUUUUACUGACGCUGAUUGCAAUUACAAAAGGUUUAUGGUUUGUCCUAUGGUGGGCGAACCCACCAAGGAAACAAGAAGUACGCAAAAGACACGGGUGAAUAAUUCAGCAAGGCUGUAACCCCGAAGGAUGCCAGCCCGCUUUCAUAUUGUGUAAUGAUCCCUCCGCAGGUUCACCUACGGAGA